This 253-nucleotide ribosomal RNA is filed under the name uncultured bacterium. RNAcentral describes it as "partial 16S ribosomal RNA". It matches the Rfam family "Bacterial small subunit ribosomal RNA", at positions 524 to 776 of the family's 1533-position model. The record is from RNAcentral.
UACGGAGGGGGCGAGCGUUAUUCGGAAUUACUGGGCGUAAAGGGCUCGUAGGCGGCCAACUAAGUCAGACGUGAAAUCCCUCGGCUUAACCGGGGAACUGCGUCUGAUACUGGAUGGCUCGAGUUUGGGAGAGGGAUGCGGAAUUCCAGGUGUAGCGGUGAAAUGCGUAGAUAUCUGGAGGAAUACCGGUGGCGAAGGCGGCAUCCUGGACCGGCAUUGACGCUGAGGAGCGAAAGCUAGGGGAGCAAACGGG